This 4273-nucleotide ribosomal RNA is filed under the name Triticum aestivum (bread wheat). Its description in RNAcentral is "partial small subunit ribosomal RNA". Lineage: Eukaryota; Viridiplantae; Streptophyta; Magnoliopsida; Poales; Poaceae. The record is from RNAcentral.
GUGUCGUGGGUGGUUUAGGUUUAACCGCCAACCUAGGUCGCUAGGUCGUCGGUGGAGAGGCGUCGUGAAGUGGCAAGGUUAACGAGGGGUGGGGCUGGUGUCACGAGCGGCCUCUAGAGUGAUCGUGCCGGCGCUCGGGCGGUGCGGGCGCCGGUACAGAAGGCCCGUACUGAGGAGGCCCUGCUGCGACUACCUAGAGUAGUGGAGCCUAGGCAGCCGGCGGGGCCGGCGGCCCCGCAGCAGCGUCGUCGGCAGGAGCCCGCCGCCGCCGAGCGAACCCUCCGGACGGGGCGGCGGCCGCGGCCGUGGUCGCCUAGCGUUCAGCUUCUCCCGCUGGGACUACGUCUAGGUCUCGCUGUGGUAGAGUCGUCGGUUCCGCAAGUUGGGGCAGUUCCGGGAGGGGGUCGCGUUGUCCUUCUUCUUCGGGCAGAGCAUGAGCGUCGACCGCGCCUCGUAGGUGCUCGAACGCCGCUGCACGCUGGUCUUUUUUAGGGUCUCCGUCGAGCACUUGUCACACAAGGGGUUCGAGCGCCACAUGUUAAGACACCUAGGAAGCCACCGAGGUAGAGAAGAGUACGAGGUAGUCGUUACACUCCUGUCUUUACAAGACGCGAUACACAUGAUAAUAGAACGUGCUUAAGACAGUCUAUUACCGAGGGUCCCAAAUUCACGACGACCACCUUAGGGGUGUGGUUUAACCCUACGAGAACGCCUGUAACUACAACGACCUCCUCACUGAGCCCGUCUACAACACGGGUCUUAUCAACUAGUCGAAAGUCGUCUUAGGUGGUCGCUGCUACAACUCAAAGUACGCGCCUCUGAACGCCGAGACUUCCGGGAUUGGAGGAGAAGGUGUUCGUCAAGGCUCUACAACCUCUUCGAAUCACUCUAACACAAACCGUAAAACCUUUUCCAGCGUCUAUGAUUUGUCUUUGCUUUCUUUCCCUAUAAAUGGUUCGUUCCACCGCUAUUCCUCAGAUAAAAUGCUUCAUUGAACGUUAUACGAAGAGAUUCACGGGACUCUUCUGAAGGUGAACUAGGACCAUUAGGUCGUAAAGACGUGGCUCGACAGGUUCCCUAACUUAAAAGACUGGGUCAACGUCACUCCGUACGGAACAGUUAUUAGAGUCUUUAACGACAAUCUCUAGGUAUGAGACAACGUUACCGCGAGCCGUUUUUGCGUGUUGGACCACCGCGAGAAGUCCUGUAGGAAGUAGACGUACUACAAGAACGUUCUCAAAUGGAACGUUUCAACACGGUAAGUUAUAGAUCCCGUGCACAUAACCUACUCUCCGGACUGUAUUUUAGUGUCAUGUCAAGAGAGGAAAUAGUUGAGGAAAACCUAGGUUCACUGUCCCAGACAAAACUCCGUUAUGAGACACAAGACCCUUUUCAACUGUUGUGUCUUUCGUGACUCCUGUCUCGACCGCCUACCUAGGCCAAUUGAUCUCUUUAAGAGUUUAACGGGCUCCGGGGUAGACAUCGUAGUUUUCCAGAAGACAGUUUUCGAUCACUUUUUAGAAGAUUUCGUUCCGCAGGAGUUGGGGAGUAGUUUGAACAUUACUCUUCCGACCUCUCGAGAAAGGCAUCGAAAAGAGCGGGACAAGAAGUACGGCGACGUUCUCAUCAGGUCCUUUACCCAUUUUCGUCUCGUCGACGAAUGAGAAACCCACGAAUACUACUCCCUCGGUUAGAAGUUCGAAUAAGUCUAUUACAGCUUAGAGAACUAAGACUACUCUUGAGUGUUGGACUUCGGUGGGCCUUUCGAUUCGGUGACAGCUUACCUGUACCACCUUACCUGUGUCAUCGUCCCAAUAACCGUAGUGAUUACCUUCAUCACGCGUGUUGACAUCGUACGCUCACGCAUAUACAAGCUCGUUACCAGUAGUUUCGAAACUAUACCUACGUUUUAGGUGUGCUCAGGGAGCUACUUGAUUUUAGAUAUUAACGCACACUCGACAGACUGGGUCGGACCGGAAGAAGAGAUGACUUACUACAGGACGAUUGGGAUGUACGAUCCAAGUUCCGUUGGGGACUAUACCGACACUGAGACGAACUCUAACGAUCUUAAAAACGAUGAUUUCAAGGACCUUUCUAACUACGACUACAAGAUGUUGACAAUACCUUCUGUACGGAACAUCCUCGUCCUGGUCUACCCUUUGUAUGUCGUAACCUUCGACACUGUUAACAGGAACUAGACGGUGGUGGAGUCGGACCAAGUUACAGACAUGAGUGCAGACAACUAUACUAUAGGCGGAGACUAGGUUUUAGACGUUACCGUGACGUUUCUAAUCAGGUUCGACGACAAACCAAAAACCCUCUUUUACGUUUGAUACGACGUAGACUCAUACGUACCCUUAGACGCUGCGGCGGACCAUGACGAGAUUACUACGAACUACGACUAUUUUACCAACGACGUCGAUCGAGGGCAUUGGGAUGUGAACGAUCGCGAGACUGCGCCGAGGUUUCCACACGUAAAUCACCGUCGACCCUCUAGGCAUAGCGACGACAGGUCCGGGAUUGAUGGUAACGUUAUUCCAGACCACUUGGAAUAUCUGAUGUCUAUAUGCUCAAAGAAGUACGAAACUCAGACCCCCCACACGUCAGUUUGAAAAGCCUUAACGUCGAUUCAUUACCCCUUUUGGUUCCACGAUCACCAUGACCAGAACCUAGAAACUAAUCGGGUUACGAGUUCCAGAACCUACUCUACAUAUUUCGAGUUCUGCUGGAACGAUCCCUGUAGGCAGUCGUACUAUUAUCGUUUGUUCUUACCUCACUACUACUUGAGUUCUUUGAAAUACUUUGGGUACUCUCCGAAGAACUAAAGCAAACAAAUAAGACAAAGCAAGGUUCCUAAUUUAUGAACGGAAAUCCGGGAUGGUCACGGUUCGAUUAACUCUAGAUGGCGUUAGCCGUAUUGUAAUCACGUAGACAGCCAGAUUCACUGGGACGACAACGAUGGCCUUAUAGACUGGAUUACAUACUCAGCUUUCUUCAUGUAUUCCUCUGGUCAUGAUACGUUAGGCCUUAACUGGGACUAGAUCGAUACCGGACCCGUCGUCCAAACCUUCUACUACGGACCCGUUUGCUACGGGGUCCACACCUGUUUCAGUUCCUAAAGGAAAGACCACGACCUUGACUACGAGGACUACACCUACUGCUCCUUAUGUACUUAAGUUCCGGUAGUCAGCCAAUACUACUAUACACCCGGUUCUGUUAAGAACUUCUCCUUCUACUACCCUCCAGAAGACCACCCAGGAGAGGACUGAGCUGACCAAGACACCUCUGCAGGUAUAGCAGGGUAAAGCCACCGUACUUGAUAGGCAGAAACAAAUCAAGUUUCGGUGGUUCAAUACCCCGAAGUGUUGUUUGCUAUGCACUUCUUGGUGGUAGUAUAAGUUGUAGACAGGAUGUCUUCGCACUCAGUAAACUGUUGGGGUACCGCCCCGCACCCCCAGCUUCAAGACCUAGACCUAGGGUACUCCUACAACUCUUCUCAAGGCCCUUGGGAGUUAGACCCUUUCGUAACAUACUGAAGUGUCGUCCGCCGCUACUACUCGACUCAAAUUUGAGACCUCUUCUACACCUAUAACUUAUACUCCAACUACCAACCAUGAUGCACUUCUUUUUCUCUGGCCCUUCCCUACCCUUCUACCGUCCAGACCAGGGACAAAACAUACACUCGAGCACUAUCGUUACUCGGAACACUGUAUGAUGAGAGUUCUCGACCCACCUUAUGUACCCACUACCCGGAUUCUUACUUUGCGUUUCUUCAAAACUACGACAGAACACAUUCCUUCCUGUAUAGGUUGGGAGAACCACACACCAACAUGCCACGCCGCUAUAACAACGACCAGAGACACACGACUAAAACAAACGAUAUGUAUGCCGAUCUGGUAAGUUAAGUAACAAAUGUACCCACCUAUCCUUAAACCCUGUGAGGUAAGGUAGAACGGACGCGGCAAGACGAGGUGGCCAAUACGAACCUUCCAAAGGCAAUGAGGGGCACAGGUCAAGAAGGUAGCCGACACGUUAUGUAGGGUAACAUUAACAUAUUGAUAAAUCGACAAUUCUCCGACAACAUUUGACAUCCGAGUUAAAAAAAUGGGAUACUAAGAAAACCAUGACACAUACCAUAUACCACACUUGACACACUAAGUCAUCAUUAGUCAUCACGACAUAAAAAAAUUACCAAACACAUUUAAAAACAAAAGGCAACAUAGAUCCUAUGUACUUUUAUAUGGUAUCACUUUGUUGUCCGUGGGCAAGAAAA